AGCGAACGCUGGCGGCAGGCUUAACACAUGCAAGUCGAGCGGGCACUUUCGGGUGUCAGCGGCGGACGGGUGCGUAACGCGUGGGAACGUGCCCUCUGGUUCGGAAUAACUCAGGGAAACUUGAGCUAAUACCGGAUACGCCCUUUUGGGGAAAGGCUUGCUGCCGGAGGAUCGGCCCGCGUCUGAUUAGCUAGUUGGUGAGGUAACGGCUCACCAAGGCGACGAUCAGUAGCUGGUCUGAGAGGAUGAUCAGCCACACUGGGACUGAGACACGGCCCAGAAUCCUACGGGAAGCAGCAGUGGGGAAUAUUGGACAAUGGGCGCAAGCCUGAUCCAGCCAUGCCGCGUGAGUGAUGAAGGCCUUAGGGUUGUAAAGCUCUUUUAUCCGGGACGAUAAUGACGGUACCGGAGGAAUAAGCCCCGGCUAACUUCGUG
Molecule: ribosomal RNA, 435 nt
Filed under: uncultured bacterium
Lineage: Bacteria
Description: partial 16S ribosomal RNA
Rfam family: Bacterial small subunit ribosomal RNA
Source: RNAcentral